RNAcentral lists this transfer RNA (88 nucleotides) under Candidatus Bathyarchaeota archaeon. Its description in RNAcentral is "tRNA-Ser". It matches the Rfam family "tRNA". Rfam says of the family: Transfer RNA (tRNA) molecules are approximately 80 nucleotides in length. Lineage: Archaea; Thermoproteati; Candidatus Bathyarchaeota. The record is from RNAcentral. RNAcentral also lists the same sequence under 1 other name.
GCCGGGGUGGCUGAGUGGUAAAGGCGCCGGCCUCGAGAGCCGGUGCCCCUUCGGGGGCCCGCGGGUUCAAAUCCCGCCCCCGGCGCCA